Molecule: long non-coding RNA, 3326 nt
Filed under: Coffea arabica (coffee)
Lineage: Eukaryota; Viridiplantae; Streptophyta; Magnoliopsida; Gentianales; Rubiaceae
Description: long non-coding RNA (CARA_LNC008266)
Source: RNAcentral
AAAUACAUAAAUAACUAACUAAGAAUUUAGAAAGAAACUUGAGUCUCCGUAGACUCUUUGAAGAAAAGUUGCACACCACACAACAAGAGAAGGAAGAACUCCUCCUCUGAAAACCAAAAACUACCUCUAUCCUCCAACGGAGCUUAUUUGGAGAGAAAACUCAAAACUAGUCUAAUAGCUCCCUUUCACGUCUCAUGUCUUCAUACAUAAAAACCAGUCAAAUGGAGACAUCACCCCACGUCCACCAAAGAGGUCAUCAUUUCUCUACAUAAUCAAUUUCACUCCACUCAAAACAAAAGCAAUUGUCGGUUUUCUUUUUGACCAAGAGCACACGUUCACGAACAAGAAAGCAAAACCACAAAUGUGCAAAGAAAGCAAACUUUAGACAAUACAACUUAUUUGCGGUCCCCACCAACUUUGAUAUGUUGUCUAGCCAAAUUGAAUUCCCAAAUGCAAUUCUAUUCUUAUUCGUUGGUUUGCACCGGAAUUGUGUAAAGCUUCACAAUAAUCUUCUCACAAGGUUUCUGCUUCACUUUCUGAAAUUAUAUCCAAAUACCAAAUAUAAAUAUAUAUUGACAAUUAAAGCAAAUUAAAGCAAUAUUUGGCAAGGAUAAAAAGGAAAAUUAACAAUAAAAUUACUAACAAUUAACACCCUAUCAAUUCCCCCCACACUUAAAUCAUGCUUGUCCUCAAGCAUGAGAACAACUAAACUCAACAAUGGUCAACCCUCAUAUCAUCUAUUGCCAACUGCGCUUACACCAAAAUCAAGUUUUAGUGGCUAAGUAUCAAGACAUAAUUCUCCCGGCUAGCUCCUGAAAUCAUAAACUCGUCCAAUUCAUAGCUAACUCAUUUAGGAAAUCAAAAUAUUAAACUAGCAAAAGUUAGCAAUUGGAUCAAUUGACAACCAAAAUCUCAACAUUAAAGAACAAGGAUCGGCAGGCCAACAUGAUCAUAAGCUUACACAUUUUUUAUUUUUUUAUUUAUUUAUAUUUUUUUUGAGAAUUCUUUUUGUUUUUAUUUCGAUAAAUGCUCAGUCCCAAGCUAUUCAAAUCUUUUGACGCGAACUCUGACAUUUUUAGAUGAAAGAGCCCAGUUACUCAACUUUUCACAGCUUCAGGACUAACUACUCAUAGAUAUCGCCACUUUUUGACGCGAAAGUCGACACUUAUGGUGAAAACUCCGGUUACUAGGUGACGAUACUAGCGGAAUAGAGUCAUUUAUUAAUCACAAUUAAAGCACCAGAAUAUCAGAUAAUUAAAGAUCAUAGCCUACGUCAUCUCCUAACAUGGAGAACUAAGAUCAACAAUCGCCCAAUCCACACAACAAUUGCUAGUAAAAUAUUUAUAUUGCCUAAACAAGUUGACCACAAUUUGCACCAAGUCAUUAAACUCAUGAUAUUCACCAAGAUAACAUGCUUUUACUUGCCACUUAAACUAAAUUCAUAGAAUAAAUCAUAACCAGCAAUAGACGAGUGAGAUGCCACAUUUAUUCAUCAAGACAAUAGUAAGAUAAGCAACAAUUUAAAGAAACUCCCGUCAAAUCCAAAUCUCCCCCCACACUUAAAGCACACAUUGCCCUCAAUGUGACAAUUAAACAGUAAAAGUAAGAAGAAGGGCAACGAAACUCCCCUGAAGUUGUCAAAACAGCGGCGGGUUAGGCGGAAGUUGAGGUUCAAAACCCACGUGGUGCAUAAACGCCGCUAAAUUCUGUGCCAUGCUAUGCACAUUAACAUCAAUAUUUGUUACCUGAGCCUCCAGUUUUUGAACUCGCAUCUGGAGUUGGUGCCAGUCAUCAGCCCUUGGGGUUGGAGGAGGUGGAGCGGAGGUCGAAGGGCCGGGGUGUUCUAGACUUAGAAGAAGAUUUGGGUUUCACCAUUUCUCCAAAUGUCACUCAAAUCAACAACAGACAACAAUUCUCAACAAAAUUUAGAACCAACAAAUUCAAAGCAAUAACAAUUGUAAUAAUCACUGUGGCCUCUCUAUUAGUCAAUUUGAGACCCAAUUAAUGCCCGAAAACAAUCCCAAACAAUGCAACAAUUAAAUUUAACGGGCAAAGGACAUCCAACUAAUUUCACUCGAACAAACUAUGAGCAGUGUUAAUGUCUAAAUGAAUCAUCAAAUUUCAGCAAUUAGACACAAUACCACUCAAAAUCUCAAUAACUGUCUCCAAUUGGACAGUUAAUUACACACUCAACCAACCCCAAUAACCAUUCAAAUCAACAAACAAAUGCAGGAAGGAGCUACCCACAAAUAAGAAACAACUCAAAUGACCAACCCAAAGCGCUGAUAAAUCAAAACACACCAAUCAAGACCACAAAAUAACAGAAAUUAAAAUGGGACCCAAGUAACAAGUAACUCUCAAAUCAACCCCAACAAUUCUCAAACAAAUGAACUGGCACAAGAGACGUCAAAUUUAAUCCCCACAGAUGAAAUAAAAACCUCAAGUAGUCCAAACACUAUUCAGAAGACCCAAAAUUAACCCCAGAAAAUCCCCAAGUCACCUCCUGCCUUUAUCAAUCAGAAGACCCAAGAGAAAAAAAAUGCAAAUUCAGCAAUUUAAGAUCCUGGACAGUACUAAUCGAUGGAGAAAUAGCAAUACCUUCACCUGUCAAAAAUUGGCAGGUAGUGUUUGCUGGCUAUCUGUGUAGGUGGAGUGUGGUAGUCGCGCAAGGAGAGGGAGAAGAGACGGUGCAGCAGCGACAAGAGGUGGUGAAGCUUGCGCGAGGGAGGCGGCAGCUUCAGUUGCGGUUGGUGUGGUGCGCGCAGGUGGAGGCGCUCUAGCUAGCGCGAGCUAGCUCAAGCUGGCGGACGGUGGAGCUGAGCUGGUUGUGGGUAGUGACGGCGGCAGUAGGUGAGGCGAGCUAGGUGGGGAGGAGCGAGACCGAGGGUGGAGGUGCAGUGGCUGCGCGAGCUCACAGUCGUGGGCAAGAGCUUGUAUUUGCGAGCUAGUGGCUCGCGAUGGAGGAAGCAGCAGGCAGCGGCGGCUGCAUGCAGAGGUGGAUGCGUUGGUCUCCGGCUGUGCAGUGGUCAAAGGUUGAGCUUACGAUGGUGGUGGGAGCGAGGCGGAGAGAGACGGCAGCUCGCGGUUGGUCGAGAGAGAGAGACGGCCAGGAGAGAGGUAGAUAGCAAGCAGGAGCGGCGUGGGCUGCUGGUAGCGCGGGAGCUCAGGAUGAGCUGCGGCGAGCUGGGGUGGGCGGCGAUGGCAGUCGGGAGAGGAGCUUGUGACUCGCGCAGGUGGAUAUCGCGCAAGGAGGAGAGAGCAAGGCGGAGUGUGCUAGGAAGAAGAAGAAGCGGGCAGCGGGGAAGAAGAAAGGAAAGAAAGAAAAG